RNAcentral lists this long non-coding RNA (1721 nucleotides) under Ornithorhynchus anatinus (platypus). RNAcentral describes it as "lncRNA (ENSOANG00000051216.1)". The record is from RNAcentral. Lineage: Eukaryota; Metazoa; Chordata; Mammalia; Monotremata; Ornithorhynchidae.
CGGCGAGGCAGAGGAGCCAUUUCACUCUGGUUCUCCUCAUUCCCUGAACACCUUAAGAGCGGUCUCCGCCAUGGCCGUUUACGCCCAGAGCCCUCUCUGGGCUCUCAGUUCAUCUCACUGCCCCCUGUGCCGGACCUGAGGAGCAUUGGUCUCACUGGGCUCACCCCAGAGAGGAAUCCCACUCGACCCCUGGAGGACCCUAAGAGGCCACCUGCCAAGGAGUUCUUCGCCCCUCACCCCUGGGCUGCAAGAGAUUCAGAGGUUGGAUUGUGCAUUUCUGGGUUUGGGUCACAAGGACUCACACCUAUUUGGAUGUACUUAAAAUGUAGUUCCAAAAGGGCUUAGCAUGCAGCCACAAAGCUUCACCUAGUUUUCCAGAACUUGUCAUAAAAGUGCUCUUUUAGACGUAACUUGUGGCCAUGAUUAGCCCUCAAAUAGGAAUCAAAUGAUAAAAUGAAAUAGGAAUUCAAGUAGGAAUAUUGCCCUUUUUUAAGUGGUAAUCCAAAAGUAUUCUUAAUCACUUUAUCCUCUCUCCUAGGAGAAGGCAGGAAAGGUUGGGCAAUAAACAAGAUCCAGUGGGGAUUUUAUGUUUCUUUAUAAAGAAAAGGAUUUCAUUUAGCCUCAUCUAAGCUUGUGGGACUCCGGAUAAAAAUUCUCAGUUGCUGUUUCCCCGCUCCUAGGCCCCCCUCUGGCUAUAUCCACACAAAAUGGCAGAACCCUCAGAAAGAUAGAGACCUCGCAUACUUUUACCUCUAAAAAUACCAUCCUUACUAGCAUAUCUUUACCUCUACCUACUGACCCAAAUACAUUCGGUUCAAGUCCUUUGAAUGAGUGACUGAAACAUAACUAUGUACUUCUCCAGCUCUCCCUUCUAAUCCUGCCAGUGGGCUGAGCUUAGGCAUUCUGGAAGAGCACCAGCAUUCAGAAUUGUUACUAUGUUAAGCUCUUGCUAUGUGCCAAGCACUGUACUAAGCACUGAGGUUACUAGAUCACCAGAUUGGAUACAAUCCCCAUCCCACAGAGGACUCACAGUCUAAGUACGAGGCAGUAGGAUUUAAUCCCCAUUUCACAGUGAGGGAACUGAGGCACAGAGAUGUUUAGAAUGAUGCCAAUUUCAGUGUCCUUAUUCUCUAGAGAUAGACUGCAAAAGAGAAUAGGACAUACAGGACAUUAAAAAAACAAACAGUGUCCAUGGAGAGUAAGGGAAAUUCUGUUUUUUCCAACAAGUGAUGUUCUGAGAUGUAUUGGUAAAAGACGUUCAGAGUAACACUUUUGUCUAGAAUAAAUACUUUUGUAUACAUUUUGAGUAAAGUAUUGUUGUUCUAACACUAUGUCUAAAAUGUUUUAUUAAAAAUGUCCUACUUACCUAUCCGUCCAAAUAUAAAGGCAGCACUGGGAUCAUCCGAUGCCAUACUUUUUUAUAACACAGGCAAAUCACAAUUUGAGACUAUGCACAACCAGCAGACCAAGAGGGAAGAUGGACUAAGCUAAGAGGAUGGAUGGAUACCUACUGAGACAGUGUGGUUCAGUAGGUUGUGAGCACCCACCCCCCAGAGAGAUAGGGGCUGUAUCUAAAUCCCACUUGUAUGUUUUCUUCCACACUUAAUACAGUGCUCUGUAUUAGUAGUAUACUAGUACACUAAUAUAGUAUACUAGUUUAAUAGUAUGCUAUUAUAUUAUGACUAAGAGUCAGAGCCCCUCUCAGGGAAACACCUGGCGAG